RNAcentral lists this ribosomal RNA (1426 nucleotides) under Escherichia coli. Its description in RNAcentral is "bacterial SSU rRNA". It matches the Rfam family "Bacterial small subunit ribosomal RNA". The record is from RNAcentral. Lineage: Bacteria; Pseudomonadati; Pseudomonadota; Gammaproteobacteria; Enterobacterales; Enterobacteriaceae.
AAGCAGCUUGCUGCUUUGCUGACGAGUGGCGGACGGGUGAGUAAUGUCUGGGAAACUGCCYGAUGGAGGGGGAUAACUACUGGAAACGGUAGCUAAUACCGCAUAACGUCGCAAGACCAAAGAGGGGGACCUUAGGGCCUCUUGCCAUCGGAUGUGCCCAGAUGGGAUUAGCUAGUAGGUGGGGUAACGGCUCACCUAGGCGACGAUCCCUAGCUGGUCUGAGAGGAUGACCAGCCACACUGGAACUGAGACACGGUCCAGACUCCUACGGGAGGCAGCAGUGGGGAAUAUUGCACAAUGGGCGCAAGCCUGAUGCAGCCAUGCCGCGUGUAUGAAGAAGGCCUUCGGGUUGUAAAGUACUUUCAGCGGGGAGGAAGGGAGUAAAGUUAAUACCUUUGCUCAUUGACGUUACCCGCAGAAGAAGCACCGGCUAACUCCGUGCCAGCAGCCGCGGUAAUACGGAGGGUGCAAGCGUUAAUCGGAAUUACUGGGCGUAAAGCGCACGCAGGCGGUUUGUUAAGUCAGAUGUGAAAUCCCCGGGCUCAACCUGGGAACUGCAUCUGAUACUGGCAAGCUUGAGUCUCGUAGAGGGGGGUAGAAUUCCAGGUGUAGCGGUGAAAUGCGUAGAGAUCUGGAGGAAUACCGGUGGCGAAGGCGGCCCCCUGGACGAAGACUGACGCUCAGGUGCGAAAGCGUGGGGAGCAAACAGGAUUAGAUACCCUGGUAGUCCACGCCGUAAACGAUGUCGACUUGGAGGUUGUGCCCUUGAGGCGUGGCUUCCGGAGCUAACGCGUUAAGUCGACCGCCUGGGGAGUACGGCCGCAAGGUUAAAACUCAAAUGAAUUGACGGGGGCCCGCACAAGCGGUGGAGCAUGUGGUUUAAUUCGAUGCAACGCGAAGAACCUUACCUGGUCUUGACAUCCACGGAAGUUUUCAGAGAUGAGAAUGUGCCUUCGGGAACCGUGAGACAGGUGCUGCAUGGCUGUCGUCAGCUCGUGUUGUGAAAUGUUGGGUUAAGUCCCGCAACGAGCGCAACCCUUAUCCUUUGUUGCCAGCGGUCCGGCCGGGAACUCAAAGGAGACUGCCAGUGAUAAACUGGAGGAAGGUGGGGAUGACGUCAAGUCAUCAUGGCCCUUACGACCAGGGCUACACACGUGCUACAAUGGCGCAUACAAAGAGAAGCGACCUCGCGAGAGCAAGCGGACCUCAUAAAGUGCGUCGUAGUCCGGAUUGGAGUCUGCAACUCGACUCCAUGAAGUCGGAAUCGCUAGUAAUCGUGGAUCAGAAUGCCACGGUGAAUACGUUCCCGGGCCUUGUACACACCGCCCGUCACACUACCACUUUGUGAUUCAUGACUGGGGUGAAGUCGUAACAAGGUAACCGUAGGGGAACCUGCGGUUGGAUCACCUCCUUACCUUAAAGAAGC